Molecule: ribosomal RNA, 468 nt
Filed under: uncultured bacterium
Lineage: Bacteria
Description: partial 16S ribosomal RNA
Rfam family: Bacterial small subunit ribosomal RNA
Source: RNAcentral
GACGAACGCUGGCGGCGUGCUUAACACAUGCAAGUCGAACGGAAAGGCCCUGCUUUUGUGGGGUGCUCGAGUGGCGAACGGGUGAGUAACACGUGAGUAACCUGCCCUUGACUUUGGGAUAACUUCAGGAAACUGGGGCUAAUACCGGAUAGGAGCUCCUGCUGCAUGGUGGGGGUUGGAAAGUUUCGGCGGUUGGGGAUGGACUCGCGGCUUAUCAGCUUGUUGGUGGGGUAGUGGCUUACCAAGGCUUUGACGGGUAGCCGGCCUGAGAGGGUGACCGGCCACAUUGGGACUGGGAUACGGCCCAGACUCCUACGGGAGGCAGCAGUGGAGAGUAUUACACAAUGGGCGGAGGCCUGAUGCAGCAACGCCGCGUGCGGGAUGACGGCCUUCGGGUUGUAAUCCGCUUUCGCCUGUGACGAGGCGUGAGUGACGGUAAUGGGUAAAGAAGCACCGGCUAACUACGUG